CAGUAGCCACGGGAAUACGGAGGGGGCUAGCGUUGUUCGGAAUUACUGGGCGUAAAGCGCACGUAGGCGGCUUUGUAAGUUAGAGGUGAAAGCCCGGAGCUCAACUCCGGAAUUGCCUUUAAGACUGCAGAGCUAGCAGGUGAGAGAGGUGAGUGGAAUUCCGAGUGUAGAGGUGAAAUUCGUAGAUAUUCGGAAGAACACCAGUGGCGAAGGCGGCUCACUGGCUCAUACUGGACGCUGAGGUGCGAAAGCGUGGGGAGCAAACAGGAUUAGAUACCCCCGUAGUCCCUGUCUCUUAUAC
Molecule: ribosomal RNA, 301 nt
Filed under: uncultured bacterium
Lineage: Bacteria
Description: partial 16S ribosomal RNA
Rfam family: Bacterial small subunit ribosomal RNA
Source: RNAcentral